CCUACGGGUGGCAGCAGUGAGGAAUAUUGGUCAAUGGGCGCGAGUCUGAACCAGCCAAGCCGCGUGAGGGAAGACGGUCCUAUGGUUUGUAAACUUCUUUUGUCGGGGAGCAAACGACGCUACGCGUGGCGUUCCGAGAGUACCCGAAGAAAACGCAUCGGCUAACUCCGUGCCAGCAGCCGCGGUAAUACGGAGGAUGCGAGCGUUAUCCGGAUUUAUUGGGUUUAAAGGGUGCGCAGGCGGAGGAUCAAGUCAGCGGUAAAAUUGAGAGGCUCAACCCGUAGGAGCCGUUAAAACUGGUUAUCUAGAGAGAAGGAGAGGUAGGCGGAAUGCGUGGUGUAGCGGUGAAAUGCGUAGAUAUCACGCAGAACACCGAUUGCGAAGGCAGCAUACCG
This 395-nucleotide ribosomal RNA is filed under the name uncultured bacterium. RNAcentral's name for it is "partial 16S ribosomal RNA". It matches the Rfam family "Bacterial small subunit ribosomal RNA", at positions 338 to 731 of the family's 1533-position model. The record is from RNAcentral.